GUCCUAGUAAUUUAACAAAAAUACUAGCCUUGUAAGCUAAUAAUGGAAGCAAACCCCUCCCUAGGACA
This 68-nucleotide transfer RNA is filed under the name Pseudochirulus canescens (Lowland ringtail). RNAcentral's name for it is "tRNA-Thr". It matches the Rfam family "tRNA". Rfam says of the family: Transfer RNA (tRNA) molecules are approximately 80 nucleotides in length. Their secondary structure includes four short double-helical elements and three loops (D, anti-codon, and T loops). Further hydrogen bonds mediate the characteristic L-shaped molecular structure. tRNAs have two regions of fundamental functional importance: the anti-codon, which is responsible for specific mRNA codon recognition, and the 3' end, to which the tRNAs corresponding amino acid is attached (by aminoacyl-tRNA synthetases). tRNAs cope with the degeneracy of the genetic code in two manners: having more than one tRNA (with a specific anti-codon) for a particular amino acid; and 'wobble' base-pairing, i.e. permitting non-standard base-pairing at the 3rd anti-codon position. The record is from RNAcentral. Lineage: Eukaryota; Metazoa; Chordata; Mammalia; Diprotodontia; Pseudocheiridae.